This is a long non-coding RNA of Centruroides sculpturatus (bark scorpion), 228 nucleotides long. RefSeq lists it as uncharacterized. Lineage: Eukaryota; Metazoa; Arthropoda; Arachnida; Scorpiones; Buthidae. The transcript has 2 exons. The record is from RefSeq and is a predicted model, not a curated record.
GUUGAAAGAUUUCCUAUGUCACUCAUAAGUGAUCCAAUUGCUUACACAAGUGAUGAUCCAAGAGAACUAUAUAACAACAUUCUUAUUUUUAUUGUAAAAGGAGAUCCAAAGAACAAGAAUCAUUCUCCAUCUGAAAUGCAUAUAUUUCAAUGUGCACGUGUUAAAGCACAUGAAAUAGUUGAUGAAAUGAAGAUGUUUAUGAGUGGCAAAUGGAAAAGAGGGUAACAA